RNAcentral lists this transfer RNA (73 nucleotides) under Pangasianodon hypophthalmus (striped catfish). Its description in RNAcentral is "tRNA-Glu". It matches the Rfam family "tRNA". Rfam says of the family: Transfer RNA (tRNA) molecules are approximately 80 nucleotides in length. The record is from RNAcentral. Lineage: Eukaryota; Metazoa; Chordata; Actinopteri; Siluriformes; Pangasiidae.
UCCCUGGUGGUCUAGCGGCUAAGGCUCCUGUGCUCUCACCACUGUGGCCCAGGUUUGAUUCCUGGGCAGGGAA